GACAGAGGGUGCAAACGUUGUUCGGAAUUACUGGGCGUAAAGGGCGCGUAGGCGGCCUACUAAGUCAGACGUGAAAUCCCCCGGCUUAACCUGGGAACUGCGUCUGAUACUGGAAGGCUUGAGGAUGGGAGAGGGAUGUAGAAUUCCAGGUGUAGCGGUGAAAUGCGUAGAUAUCUGGAGGAAUACCGGUGGCGAAGGCGGCAUCCUGGACCAUUACUGACGCUGAGGCGCGAAAGCUAGGGGAGCAAACGGG
RNAcentral lists this ribosomal RNA (253 nucleotides) under uncultured bacterium. Its description in RNAcentral is "partial 16S ribosomal RNA". It matches the Rfam family "Bacterial small subunit ribosomal RNA", at positions 524 to 776 of the family's 1533-position model. The record is from RNAcentral.